GACGAACGCUGGCGGCGUGCUUAACACAUGCAAGUCGAACGGAAAGGCCCUGCUUUUGUGGGGUGCUCGAGUGGCGAACGGGUGAGUAACACGUGAGUAACCUGCCCUUGACUUUGGGAUAACUUCAGGAAACUGGGGCUAAUACCGGAUAGGAGCUCCUGCUGCGUGGUGGGGGUUGGAAAGUUUCGGCGGUUGUGGAUGGACUCGCGGCUUAUCAGCUUGUUGGUGGGGUAGUUGCUUACCAAGGCUUUGACGGGUAGCCGGCCUGAGAGGGUGACCGGCGAGAUAGGGGCUGAGAGGAGGCACGAAGAGAGACGGGAGCGAAAAGGGGGGAAGACUGACGAAGGGACGGAAGGUGGAUGAAGAAAGGCGGCGGGUCGUAGAACGGCCUUAGGAGGGAAGAACAAAUGUGGAAGUGACGAAGCGCGAGUGAAGGUAAUGGGAAAAGAAGGACCGGCCUAACAAGUG
This 468-nucleotide ribosomal RNA is filed under the name uncultured bacterium. RNAcentral's name for it is "partial 16S ribosomal RNA". The stretch from base 20 to 328 matches the Rfam family "Bacterial small subunit ribosomal RNA", at positions 47 to 358 of the family's 1533-position model. The record is from RNAcentral.